UGGGGAGUGGUCCAGCGGCAAGACGUCUGACUCUGGAUCAGAAAACCAAGGUUCGAAUCCUUGCUCCCCAGCCA
This 74-nucleotide transfer RNA is filed under the name bacterium. RNAcentral's name for it is "tRNA-Gln". It matches the Rfam family "tRNA". From Rfam's summary of the family: Transfer RNA (tRNA) molecules are approximately 80 nucleotides in length. Their secondary structure includes four short double-helical elements and three loops (D, anti-codon, and T loops). Further hydrogen bonds mediate the characteristic L-shaped molecular structure. tRNAs have two regions of fundamental functional importance: the anti-codon, which is responsible for specific mRNA codon recognition, and the 3' end, to which the tRNAs corresponding amino acid is attached (by aminoacyl-tRNA synthetases). tRNAs cope with the degeneracy of the genetic code in two manners: having more than one tRNA (with a specific anti-codon) for a particular amino acid; and 'wobble' base-pairing, i.e. permitting non-standard base-pairing at the 3rd anti-codon position. The record is from RNAcentral. RNAcentral also lists the same sequence under 1 other name.